This is a non-coding RNA of Arvicanthis niloticus (Nile rat), 366 nucleotides long. Lineage: Eukaryota; Metazoa; Chordata; Mammalia; Rodentia; Muridae. The record is from the annotation of a RefSeq genome assembly.
AUGGAGACAGACACACUGUCCCUAUUGGUGUUGCUGCUCUGGGUUCCAGGCUCCAUUGGUGACAUUAUGCUGACCCAGUCUCCAGCUUUUUCGGCUCUGUCUCUAGGGCAGAGGGUCACCAUCUCCUGCAGGGCCAGCGAAAGUGUCUAUAGUGGUAUGAACUGGUACCAGCAGAAACCAGGACAGCCACCCAAACUCCUCAUCUAUGCUGCAUCCAACCUAGCAUCUGGGGUUCCUGCCAGGUUCAGUGGCAGUGGGUUUUGGACAGACUUCACCCUCACAAUCAAUCCUGUGGAGGCUGAUGAUGCUGCAACCUAUUACUGUCAGCAAGGUUUGAAGAGUCCUCCCACAGUGCUCCAGUCCUGA